AAUUGGGCGUUAAGUUGCAGGGUAUAGACCCGAAACCCGGUGAUCUAGCCAUGGGCAGGUUGAAGGUUGGGUAACACUAACUGGAGGACCGAACCGACUAAUGUUGAAAAAUUAGCGGAUGACCUGUGGCUGGGGGUGAAAGGCCAAUCAAACCGGGAGAUAGCUGGUUCUCCCCGAAAGCUAUUUAGGUAGCGCCUCGUGAAUUCAUCUCCGGGGGUAGAGCACUGUUUCGGCUAGGGGGCCAUCCCGGCUUACCAACCCGAUGCAAACUGCGAAUACCGGAGAAUGUUAUCACGGGAGACACACGGCGGGUGCUAACGUCCGUCGUGAAGAGGGAAACAACCCAGACCGCCAGCUAAGGUCCCAAAGUCAUGGUUAAGUGGGAAACGAUGUGGGAAGGCCCAGACAGCCAGGAUGUUGGCUUAGAAGCAGCCAUCAUUUAAAGAAAGCGUAAUAGCUCACUGGUCGAGUCGGCCUGCGCGGAAGAUGUAACGGGGCUAAACCAUGCACCGAAGCUGCGGCAGCGACGCUUAUGCGUUGUUGGGUAGGGGAGCGUUCUGUAAGCCUGUGAAGGUGUGUCGUGAGGCAUGCUGGAGGUAUCAGAAGUGCGAAUGCUGACAUAAGUAACGAUAAAGCGGGUGAAAAGCCCGCUCGCCGGAAGACCAAGGGUUCCUGUCCAACGUUAAUCGGGGCAGGGUGAGUCGACCCCUAAGGCGAGGCCGA
This 723-nucleotide ribosomal RNA is filed under the name Salmonella enterica subsp. enterica serovar Paratyphi B var. L(+) tartrate +. RNAcentral describes it as "partial 23S ribosomal RNA". It matches the Rfam family "Bacterial large subunit ribosomal RNA", at positions 686 to 1405 of the family's 2925-position model. The record is from RNAcentral. Lineage: Bacteria; Pseudomonadati; Pseudomonadota; Gammaproteobacteria; Enterobacterales; Enterobacteriaceae.